RNAcentral lists this unclassified non-coding RNA (146 nucleotides) under soil metagenome. RNAcentral describes it as "partial internal transcribed spacer 1". The record is from RNAcentral.
UAAUAAGUGUUUUAUGGCACUUUUUAAAUCCAUAUCCACCUUGUGUGCAAUGUCAGUCGAUCUUCUUCAUGGAGAUCGACCAAACAUCAACCUUUAUCUUUUAACUCUUGUCUGAAAAAUAUUAUGAAAUAAACAAUUCAAAAUAC